RNAcentral lists this long non-coding RNA (440 nucleotides) under Aquilegia coerulea. RNAcentral describes it as "long non-coding RNA (ACOE_LNC000614)". Lineage: Eukaryota; Viridiplantae; Streptophyta; Magnoliopsida; Ranunculales; Ranunculaceae. The record is from RNAcentral.
AGUCAAGGAGAAAGUACCUGGUUCACAUACUGGUACUACUGAUACAGGAGCUGGUUAUGGAACUGGACAAAAAACUGCUGGUUGUGGACAUGACGAGAAGGGGAUGAUGGACAAGAUCAAUGAAAAGAUGCCUGGAUCGCAUACUAGUGAGACCGGCGGAUGUGGUACUGGACAGAAACAAACUGGUUUUGGAGCUGGACAGCAAACUGGGUAUGGACGUGAGCAUGAGGAUAAGGGAAUGAUGGAGAAGGUCAAGGAGAAGUUACCUGGUACUGGCCGUCAUCAACCUUAAGUAUGUAUCUGAAAUUAAUAUAUAUAUAUAUGUACCUACUAGUAGUAGUAGUAGGUUACUGCUAUCUACUACUACUACUGUAGUAACUUUAUGUAUUUCUGCAAGAAUAAGUCGCUAUGUGCGUGCUCAUAUGUAUGUCAGUAGCACG